UACGUAGGGCGCAAGCGUUAUCCGGAAUUAUUGGGCGUAAGGAGCUCGUAGGCGGCCUGUCGCGUCGACCGUGAAAACCCGCAGCUCAACUGCGGGCUUGCGGUCGAUACGGGCAGGCUGGAGUUCGGUAGGGGAGACUGGAAUUCCUGGUGUAGCGGUGAAAUGCGCAGAUAUCAGGAGGAACACCGGUGGCGAAGGCGGGCCUCUGGGCCGAUACUGACGCUGAGGAGCGAAAGCGUGGGGAGCGAACAGG
This 253-nucleotide ribosomal RNA is filed under the name uncultured bacterium. RNAcentral's name for it is "partial 16S ribosomal RNA". It matches the Rfam family "Bacterial small subunit ribosomal RNA", at positions 524 to 776 of the family's 1533-position model. The record is from RNAcentral.